GACGAACGCUGGCGGCGUGCUUAACACAUGCAAGUCGAACGGAAAGGCCCUGCUUUUGUGGGGUGCUCGAGUGGCGAACGGGUGAGUAACACGUGAGUAACCUGCCCUUGACUGUGGGAUAACUUCAGGAAACUGGGGCUAAUACCGGAUAGGAGCUCCUGCUGCAUGGUGGGGGAUGGAAAGUUUCGGCGGUUGGGGAUGGACUCGCGGCUUAUCAGCUUGUUGGUGGGGUAGUGGCUUACCAAGGCUUUGACGGGUAGCCGGCCUGAGAGGGUGACCGGCCACAUUGGGACUGAGGUACGGCCCAGACUCCUACGGGAGGCAGCAGUGGGGAAUAUUGCACAAUGGGCGGAAGCCUGAUGCAGCAACGCCGCGUGCGGGAUGACGGCCUUCGGGUUGUAAACCGCUUUCGCCUGUGACGAAGCGUGAGUGACGGUAAUGGGUAAAGAAGCACCGGCUAACUACGUG
RNAcentral lists this ribosomal RNA (468 nucleotides) under uncultured bacterium. Its description in RNAcentral is "partial 16S ribosomal RNA". It matches the Rfam family "Bacterial small subunit ribosomal RNA", at positions 28 to 507 of the family's 1533-position model. The record is from RNAcentral.